Molecule: non-coding RNA, 384 nt
Organism: Loxodonta africana (African savanna elephant)
Lineage: Eukaryota; Metazoa; Chordata; Mammalia; Proboscidea; Elephantidae
Source: the annotation of a RefSeq genome assembly
AUGGACCUCAUACACAAGAACAUGAAACAUUUCUGGGUCUUCCUCUUCUUGGUGGCAGUUCCCAGAGGUGUUCUGUCCCAGGUAAAGCUGCAGGAGUCAGACCCAGGACUGGUGAAGCCUUCGCAGACCCCGUCCCUCACCUGUGCUUACUCUGGACUCUCUUUAACUAGCUAUGUUGUGAGCUGGGUUCGCCAGGCUCCAGGAAAGGGACUGGAAUGGGUCGGUGUAAUAACUAGCAGUGGAAGCACGUCUUACUACCCGGCUCUGGCAUCCCGAGUCAGCAUCACCAAGGAUGAUUCCAAAAGCCAAGUUUAUUUAAAACUGAGGUCUGUGAAUCCUGAGGACACGGCCAUGUAUUACUGUGCAGAACACACAGUGAGGUGA